Molecule: unclassified non-coding RNA, 139 nt
Filed under: soil metagenome
Description: partial internal transcribed spacer 1
Source: RNAcentral
CCUAGAGUUGUAGGCUUUGCCUGCUAUCUCUUACCCAUGUCUUUUGAGUACCUUCGUUUCCUCGGCGGGUCCGCCCGCCGAUUGGACAAUUUAAACCAUUUGCAGUUUGCAAUCAGCGUCUGAAAAAACUUAAUAGUUA